Molecule: ribosomal RNA, 1404 nt
Filed under: metagenome
Description: bacterial SSU rRNA
Rfam family: Bacterial small subunit ribosomal RNA
Source: RNAcentral
GGAUAAUCUACCUUUGGAUCUGGGAUAACAUUGCGAAAGCGGUGCUAAUACCGGAUAAUAUCGUAAUAUCUGCGGAUAUAGCGAUGAAAGGCAGCCAAUCCUUGGAAGCAGUUGUCUGAAGAUGAGUCCGCGUACCAUUAGCUAGUUGGUGGGGUAAAGGCCUACCAAGGCGACGAUGGUUAGCUGGUCUGAGAGGAUGAUCAGCCACACUGGAACUGACACACGGUCCAGACUCCUACGGGAGGCAGCAGUGAGGAAUUUUGCGCAAUGGGGUAACCCCUGACGCAGCAACGCCGCGUGAGUGAUGAAGGCUUUUGGGUCGUAAAACUCUGUCAAUGGGAAAGAAAUUACAAUAUAUUAAUAGUGUGUUGUAUUGACGGUACCCAUGAAGGAAGCACCGGCUAACUCCGUGCCAGCAGCCGCGGUAAUACGGGGGGUGCAAGCGUUAUUCGGAAUUAUUGGGCGUAAAGGGCGCGCAGGCUGUAUACUAGGUCAGAUGUGAAAGUUCAGGGCUUAACUCUGAAAGUGCAUUUGAAACCAUUAUACUUGAGUAUGGGAGAGGGAAGUGGAAUUCCAGGUGUAGAGGUGAAAUUCGUAGAUAUCUGGAGGAACACCGGUGGCGAAGGCGACUUCCUGGACCAAUACUGACGCUGAGGCGCGAAGGCGUGGGUAGCGAACAGGAUUAGAUACCCUGGUAGUCCACGCAGUAAACGUUGAUCACUAGGUGUAGCGGGUAUUGACCCCUGCUGUGCCGGAGCAAACGCAUUAAGUGAUCCGCCUGGGGAGUACGAUCGCAAGAUUAAAACUCAAAGGAAUUGACGGGGGCCCGCACAAGCGGUGGAGCAUGUGGUUUAAUUCGACGCAACGCGAAGAACCUUACCUGGAUUUGACAUCUUGGGAAUACCUUAGAAAUUUGGUAGUGCCUUUCGGGGAGCCCAAAGACAGGUGCUGCAUGGCUGUCGUCAGCUCGUGCCGUGAGAUGUUGGGUUAAGUCCCGCAACGAGCGCAACCCUUAUCUUUAGUUACCAUCAUUUAGUUGGGGACUCUAGAGAUACUGCCCCGGUUAACGGGGAGGAAGGUGGGGAUGACGUCAAGUCCUCAUGGCCUUUAUAUCCAGGGCUACACACGUGCUACAAUGGUAUGUACAAAGAGUUGCUAAGCCGCGAGGUCAAGCUAAUCUCAUAAAGCAUAUCUUAGUUCGGAUUGGAGUCUGCAACUCGACUCCAUGAAGUUGGAAUCGCUAGUAAUCGUAGAUCAGCAUGCUACGGUGAAUACGUUCCCGGGCCUUGUACACACCGCCCGUCACACCAUGAGAGUUGACUGUACCAGAAGUUGUUGAGGUAACCUUCGGGAGCCAGGCACCUAAGGUAUGGUUGAUAAUUGGGGUGAAGUCGUAACAAGGUA